RNAcentral lists this ribosomal RNA (429 nucleotides) under Bacteroidota bacterium. Its description in RNAcentral is "Bacteroidetes bacterium partial 16S ribosomal RNA". It matches the Rfam family "Bacterial small subunit ribosomal RNA", at positions 355 to 776 of the family's 1533-position model. Lineage: Bacteria; Pseudomonadati; Bacteroidota. The record is from RNAcentral.
UAGGGAAUCUUCGGCAAUGGGGGGAACCCUUACCGAGCAACGCCGCGUGAGUGAAGAAGGUUUUCGGAUCGUAAAGCUCUGUUGUUAAGGAAGAACGAGUGUGAGAAUGGAAAGUUCAUGCUGUGACGGUACUUAACCAGAAAGGGACGGCUAACUACGUGCCAGCAGCCGCGGUAAUACGUAGGUCCCGAGCGUUGUCCGGAUUUAUUGGGCGUAAAGCGAGCGCAGGCGGUUAGAAAAGUCUGAAGUGAAAGGCAGUGGCUCAACCAUUGUAGGCUUUGGAAACUGUUUAACUUGAGUGCAGAAGGGGAGAGUGGAAUUCCAUGUGUAGCGGUGAAAUGCGUAGAUAUAUGGAGGAACACCGGUGGCGAAAGCGGCUCUCUGGUCUGUAACUGACGCUGAGGCUCGAAAGCGUGGGGAGCGAACAGG